This is a long non-coding RNA of Lagopus leucura (white-tailed ptarmigan), 468 nucleotides long. RefSeq lists it as uncharacterized. Lineage: Eukaryota; Metazoa; Chordata; Aves; Galliformes; Phasianidae. The transcript has 3 exons. The record is from RefSeq and is a predicted model, not a curated record.
AAUAGACCAGAGGAGCCAUUCUGUCACCAACACAGCAUCACUGCAGCUGAGCUUACAGUUGGUCUGCUGGAGAAGCUGUAGGUUCUGGGGUCCUUGAGGACGCUGCAUCUACCUGCAGCAGGCAAAUACAAUCCCUUCCCUUAAUCCCUGAAGCUCAGCAACGAAGUUUUGUUUCAAGCACCUGGAAGGCAAGAACAGAGCUUCUGAAAGGUCCCAAAUUACACAGAGUUUCAGCAGGGACUGCUGUCUCUUCCGUGAAGGCAGCACUGGGGACAAAUAAAAGCAACUGCAGAAAGCAUAAGAUUGGACAUGCAGGCAGAUGGGAUACCAGAUGGCAAUCUUUUUUAAAGUUGUCAUGGGUAAACGGGGAGAAAGGAAAAGAACUGAAGCUCAGCUAGAUGCGACUUCUACCCGCUGCGUAUGAAGCUUAAAAAGUAUGAUUUACUGCUCUCGUCGUAUGAGCCUGCA